GUGAGUAACGCGUGAGAACCUACCUUCAGAAUGGGGACAACAGUUGGAAACGACUGCUAAUACCCAAUGUGCCGAAAGGUGAAAGAUUUAUCGUCUGAAGAUGGGCUCGCGUCUGAUUAGCUAGAUGGUGGGGUAAGAGCCUACCAUGGCAACGAUCAGUAGCUGGUCUGAGAGGAUGAGCAGCCACACUGGGACUGAGACACGGCCCAGACUCCUACGGGAGGCAGCAGUGGGGAAUUUUCCGCAAUGGGCGAAAGCCUGACGGAGCAAUACCGCGUGAGGGAGGAAGGUCCUCGGAUUGUAAACCUCUUUUAUCAGGGAAGAAGUUCUGACGGUACCUGAUGAAUAAGCAUCGGCUAACUCCGUGCCAGCAGCCGCGGUAAUACGGAGGAUGCAAGCGUUAUCCGGAAUUAUUGGGCGUAAAGCGUUCGUAAGUGGUUAUGCAAGUCUGCCGUUAAAGAAUGGAGCUUAACUCCAUAGGAGCGGUGGAAACUGCAAGACUAGAGUACAGUAGGGGUAGCAGGAAUUCCCAGUGUAGCGGUGAAAUGCGUAGAUAUUGGGAAGAACAUCGGUGGCGAAAGCGUGCUACUGGGCUGAAACUGACACUGAGGGA
Molecule: ribosomal RNA, 613 nt
Filed under: Synechocystis sp. GOF-1
Lineage: Bacteria; Bacillati; Cyanobacteriota; Cyanophyceae; Synechococcales; Merismopediaceae
Description: bacterial SSU rRNA
Rfam family: Bacterial small subunit ribosomal RNA
Source: RNAcentral